This is a non-coding RNA of Manis javanica (Malayan pangolin), 1535 nucleotides long. The record is from RefSeq and is a predicted model, not a curated record. Lineage: Eukaryota; Metazoa; Chordata; Mammalia; Pholidota; Manidae.
GGGCGGGGCGGGGCCGGCGUGGGCGGGAGGCUGCUGCUCGAGCGGGGCCGGGGGCACACGCCGCGGACACCGGGCCCCCGGACCUGGCAGCCCGUCUGUGGCCUGAGGGGGCUCCCCUGGUUUCCGGCCACGCAGCAGCGCCUGUGCUGACCGUGAGGUCGCUCCAAGAUGGGCCCACGCCUGGCCUGGGAGCCUGUCCAGGUCCCUGCCCCAGGGCACUGCCCUCGUCCCCUGGGCCCCACCGCAGCCACACACAGACCCCAGACCUUCCAGCGAUCUCCCCUGGCCCCUUCCCUCAACAUGUAAACACACUUGGGCCUCUGUUGUCUGGAGAAGAAGCGUUGGACCCCAGCCCCAGGUGACAUCCAGAACGGCACGCUGGCCACCUGCCCUCUGCAUUUCCUCACGCCCUCUGCCCUCUGCUCUGGGGGCUCCGCACCUGUGCUGGGAGGUCACGCUAACCCAGUUUCUCUGGCGUUGGGAAGGGCUGGCUGCCGCCUCACCAAGUCCACUGGUGAACCCGCUGAUGCCCAGGCCACCUGCCUGUGUCUUGAUCGCUGACUUCAGCUCACGGUUCUCGCAGAUGAGCCGCACCAGCUUCUUCAGUUCCUCAUUCUCCCGUACCAGCCUCUCGAUCUGAUACCGAAGCCCCUCAUAGUUGCUGUGUGUGCGAACCAAAGAGGAGGGUAUGGCCAGGAGAGCCGCAGCCUUCUGCCAGCCCCAACUGCACCAAUUCCUGGAGACGCUGUUGAGUGGACCUGGCCCUGGACAUUUCGACACAUGGACCAGCGAUGGCCGGCCCGUCUGGCACCUUGGGGAAAAGGCCUGGAAGAUGGCCUCCUGUGUGUUCCUGGAGUAGCAGCAGAGUGGCCCCCAAAGAUCACCGUAGUGUACCCAGAACGUCAGGGAUGUUAUUUUCUCCUACAGUCCUGUGGCCUGGAUGCGCCCCUGGCGGCAGCUGCUGUGUGAUGACCAACUCUGAGCUUCCUGCCUGCUUAGCUGGUGACUGCCUGUGGGAUGGGCAAGAGGUGGACUCAACCUGCCUAGGGCUUUGACUCUAGGUGAAGCCUCCGGCUUGAGGAUUAUCAUGAUUUUAUUGCUGUUGCUAUUGUAUGUUAUUAGCCUGAUCGCAAUGCUCCAGUUUUCUCACCCAAGGGCCAUUGCGGAAGAGGGGGAAUGUGGAGAUUGUGAGGCAAGAUUUCUGGAGGGGUGGGCUGUGGGUACAAUUGCAGUAUUUCCGGAAUGUCUCUCCUUUGGCUUUCGUGCAUCUGCAUAUCAAUUGGUGUUUCUAAGGGGUGGAUAGAAUUAGUUCAUUUACAUAUUAACAGGUAAUUGCAAGGGCGUGGGAGGGUUUAUCUGGACUGCAGAGGUUGGGUGGAGCUCUCUUCUGCUGCAGCCGGGUCAAAAGAGAGACAGGACCACUGCUUGUAAGAAAUAAACGGGUUUCUUUUUUUUUUUUUCUACUUUUAAAAAAAUUUUGGUGUCAUUAAUAUACAGUUACAUGAGCAACAUUGUGGUUACUAGAUUCCCCCCAU